RNAcentral lists this ribosomal RNA (450 nucleotides) under uncultured bacterium. RNAcentral's name for it is "partial 16S ribosomal RNA". It matches the Rfam family "Bacterial small subunit ribosomal RNA", at positions 354 to 796 of the family's 1533-position model. The record is from RNAcentral.
GUGGGGAAUAUUGGACAAUGGGCGAAAGCCUGAUCCAGCCAUGCCGCGUGUGUGAAGAAGGUCUUCGGAUUGUAAAGCACUUUAAGUUGGGAGGAAGGGCAGUAAGUUAAUACCUUGCUGUUUUGACGUUACCGACAGAAUAAGCACCGGCUAACUUCGUGCCAGCAGCCGCGGUAAUACGAAGGGUGCAAGCGUUAAUCGGAAUUACUGGGCGUAAAGCGCGCGUAGGUGGUUUUGUAAGUUGGAGGUGAAAUCCCCGGGCUCAACCUGGGAACUGCCUCCAAAACUGCAUGACUAGAGUACGGUAGAGGGUAGUGGAAUUUCCUGAGUAGCGGUGAAAUGCGUAGAUAUAGGAAGGAACACCAGUGGCGAAGGCGACUACCUGGACUGAUACUGACACUGAGGUGCGAAAGCGUGGGGAGCAAACAGGAUUAGAAACCCGUGUAGUCC